GUGCUCAUUUUGGCAGCACAUAUACUAAAUAAUACAGAGAAGAUUAGUAUGGCCCCUGCACAAGGGUGACACACAAACUCAUGAAGCGUUCCAUACUUAC
RNAcentral lists this small nuclear RNA (100 nucleotides) under Peromyscus maniculatus bairdii (prairie deer mouse). The record is from RNAcentral. Lineage: Eukaryota; Metazoa; Chordata; Mammalia; Rodentia; Cricetidae.